RNAcentral lists this long non-coding RNA (23551 nucleotides) under Prunus persica (peach). RNAcentral describes it as "long non-coding RNA (PPER_LNC008207)". The record is from RNAcentral. Lineage: Eukaryota; Viridiplantae; Streptophyta; Magnoliopsida; Rosales; Rosaceae.
UCAUUUUAUAUAACGGUAAAUUAGUAAUUCAAUAAAUAGUUUGGUAGUAGAGUGUGCUUAGUUAAUUUUAAGGUUUAUUUAGCAACACUCUAGAUAAAUCCAUACAUACGUAAAACGAGCAUAAUAAUAGUAGCUAGUAGGAAUUAUAUCCCAACAAUUCAACAAGAACGAACAAAGUAGUGAUAUUCUCACUCUCAUAGCAAUACUACAAAUAAUAGGACAAAACAAUAUUUGUAAACACACGAGUGGUCCAUAUAGUUCUCCAGAAAUCCCUAAAAUAGAUCUUGCAUCUAGGUAUGCAACACCACAUGAAAGGCCCAUACCAUAUGUGAUUAUGAACCUUUAUUUAACUACAUAUAGAUAUAGUAGUACAACAAAUAUUACUGUCCGGCUGGGAAACGAAACCGUCAAUAUGCCACUGACAAUAUGCCGAUAUAAUUGUCGCAAACAAAACGUACUCACAUGUUAUCGAUACAAUUUCACCAAUAUUAACGGACAUAUAUUAUUUCAACAAUGUCGAUGCACACAACCUUUAUUUAAUAAAGAACUGAUGGCUUGCAUAGAGAACUUCUGAGAUAUUCAUCAGAGACAUAUAUGUAUACACCAUUUUUAUUAAGGGGUGGUGGUUAUUGAAGGUGGAGAGAACGGAAAUAUGGGAGUUGAUGGGAAAUUUGGAAGUGAAGUAAUAAUAGGGGGAGGCAACCUAUAUUCUGGCCAUAAAGGUGCGGGGGUCAGAGGAGGAAACUUCAGGUUCCGAGGAGGAAACUUCAGGUUAGGGAUCUUAGGCAGCUUAUAAUGAGGAAAGGUAGGGGCUAAGAGUUUUCGAGGAGCGGCGAAAGCUAAAUGUGUGCUUGAAAGUAAUGAAGCGACGACAAAGAUAGCUAUGACAAACGAUUUCCAAGUGGCCAUCUUAGUGUGUGGAAAUAAAGCUGAUGAAAUUUGAUGUGGACGAGAAGACCAGCCUAUGGUUAUAAUUUAUAACGUUGAUUCCAUUGGGAACAAGAACAACCCCAUUUAUUUUUGGUUUUAAAUGCUGUAAAAUUCUGUUGAAAAAUAAAAAUAUGUCAGAUGCCGGUAUGGGUCAAAAUUUAGAAUAGGAUAGUACUAAUUUGUAGUUUUCCAUUAAAAGUCUCGCAGUUGGUAGGUACACCUAUCAUUGUCUUGGUUUCUAUUUUGCUUUGCCAUGCCAUUCUUCACAAAGAGAUAUGCCAUUUUUCUCGUUCUUCUUGAAAAGGAAAGGUUGAUAGAAUAAUUAAUCUCAAAGAUAAAAUAGACUUUGGCUGGAAAGGGAUAAUGAAAUGAUUGAAAAAGGCGAUGCGGCCCUUUGUUGUUUUGUUGCCGAUAACAAUAUAUAUAUAUAUAUAUAUAUAUAUACAGAGAGCUUUCAUUGAGGGAUCCUUCAAAUAAGCUUAUUUGAGGGACACCCCUUGUAGGCCCCAUUCCGGAUUGUAUUUCACUAAUCCAAACCGUCUAUUUUGUACAUACUCAUUCAAAGAUCAUCUCAACAAAAAAUCACUUGAAUCCGAUAUUAUUUGACCACUCAAUUAAGCUAUUGAAAUUUUAGCAUUUUCUUGAAGCAUCGUAUUCUUUGAUUUUGUAAGACACAAUUGGAUGUCGAAAUGGUUUCCGAUUUGUCUAAUUUUUUGUAAGGAUGAUCUAUGAAUAAAGACCUAAAAAAUAGAUGGUUUGGAUCAUUGGGAAAAAAAAUUGUGGGGUACCCUAAGGGGUGUCCCUCAAAUAAAAUUAUUUGAGGGAUCCCUCAAUAGAAGGGGACUGAUAUAUAGAGAGCUUCUAUUGAGGGAUCCCUCAAAUAAGCUUAUUUGAGGGACACCCCCUUGUAGGCCCCAUUCCGGAUUGUAUUCACUAAUCCAAACCGUCUAUUUUGUACAUACUCAUUCAAAGAUCAUCUCAACAAAAAAUCACUUGAAUCCGAUAUUAUUUGACCACUCAAUUAAGCUAUUGAAAUUUUAGCAUUUUCUUGAAGCAUCGUAUUCUUUGAUUUUGUAAGACACAAUUGGAUGUCGAAAUGGUUUCCGAUUUGUCUAAUUUUUUGUAAGGAUGAUCUAUGAAUAAAGACCUAAAAAAUAGAUGGUUUGGAUCAUUGGGAAAAAAAAUUGUAGGGUACCCUAAGGGGUGUCCCUCAAAUAAAAUUAUUUGAGGGAUCCCUUAAUAGAAGGGGACUGUAUAUAUAUAUAUAUAUAUAUAUGUUAUAUUGUUGUUUGGGUGUGGUCUCCAAUUCCAAGUCAAGUCACGUCAAGUCAAUGGUCUCAAUUUCAAGCCAAGUUAAUAGACUCAAUUUCAAGCCAAGUCAAGUGGUUCCAAUUUCAAACUAAGUCAAGACAGACUCAACUUCACAAGAAAUUAUUAUUUACAAUGAAAGUAAAUAAAUGAAAGACCAAGGAGUUUUGGUUGGGAUUUCACUCAAAGGCGAACUAGUGGCCCAUGGAUUCUCUCUCUCUCUCUCUCUCUCUCUCUCUCUCUCUCUCUAUAUAUAUAUAUAUAUAUAUUUAAUACGAAGGAGUAAGAAGUCAUAUGAACUUUGGCCAAGUUUCUUGAAAAUGCCAAAUUGCCUAAAGAUCUUUAGGCAAAAAGAUCUGAUGAAAGUUCGAAGGCUAACUUUAUGGCUUUAUACUAUCUAUAUAAUAAUAUUUAAACUCAACAUGAUGCAGAUGGACUCAUUAGAAUUCUAAAUCACCCAACAUCAGUGGAUUAUGUUUAAUCAAAACUAGAAACUCCGGAAACCAUGAUGUCUCACCAGAAGAAAAUAAUGCCCUGUUGAAACUGGUGAGUUCGUACUCCAUUGGUACGCUGAGAAGGCUAGACAUGCUGCAGGUUUCUAAUGAAAAGAUUCUGGGAGACCAGGAGAGACUCAUGGCUAAGCUUAAGAGGCGCCAUUCUCUUCCUUCAGAGGCUUCCAGAACAUAAUGUAAUCUUUUAGAUUUUACAGAGCCUGCACCUUUAUUGCAGGUGGAAAAUCUAUCUGUUGUAUGCCUUCUUUCAUGUUAUAAUAAUUGUGCAAAUUCUUAAACUUGCACCUGUGGUUUUUACGUCUUUUCAAAAUGACGAUUUGGAACCUUGUGUCUUAUAGGUUCAAGUAACCACAUCAAAUCUCUCAAAUUACAUAUUUCAAUGCAUGUGAGCCCGGAACUUCUGGCUCGGGCUAAACACGACCUCAGAAUUUAUUCGCCCUUUUCAAAUAUGCAUGAAAUAUGAAUUGAGGAAAAGUCAUGAUAAUAUUGUAAUAUAGUAGUGAAGAGCAUUAACUACUAUAUAAUCAAAACUUCAGGUUCAGGACUUUUCAUAUAUUGGGAUCAAUGGGCUUCUAGCCCAGAUCAUAUAAUAUAACCAAAUAUGUGGGGAGCCUCAAUUCAUCAUUUGAGGUUUAUCCUGAUAUUAUCCAUUUCAUGGUGCAUUCUUAACAACCGGAAUUCACAAAAUAUAUUUCUUCCUUGAGGUGUCGAUUGUAACAGAAUUGAACUUUAUUAAAUUUAUCAUUUCUUAUGCCAAAGAAAUAUGUGGUGUACCACAAUUUGCAAUAAUACCUCAAGGGUUGCCCAUUUAACUAUAGGAACUUCAAGUUCUCAAUAUUGCCAUAUUUUAAACUUUAUGCCAAAAUCAUAUAUUCUUAUAGUAUGGGCAUUCAAUACUCUUAGAUUUUGAACUUCAGGCCAAAAUCACAUAUUCUCAUGGUAUGAACAUUUUUACAAUUUUCUGUAUGUAUUUUGGGACUUCAAGCACUUACAUAAUUGUCCAUAUUUUGAGAAACUUCUGGCAUCUCAUUUAAUUGCUCAUUUAUGAGUUUAAGGAACUGCAUGUUCCCUUUUGUAUAUAGUGACAAUUUACCCAAAAUGGUUAAUAUUUAUGCAUAUGUCACUAUUCAUGUAUACGAUACUAUUCAUCAAGUCAUGAAUACGUAUCUAUUCAUGUGUACAGUACAUUUGCUAGUACAGUUAUUAUUUAUGUGUACAUCACUUUUAACCAAUACGGUACUGUUGCAUCAUCAAGGAACUCUAGGUCUUUAUUUACAUGUCAAGGAUCAAGGAUCUUCAAGUCCGAUAUCUUGUUUACAAGUAUAGUAAACAAGAGAUUGUCAGCUCUCAUAUCAUUAUCAUCAUCAAGGAUCUUCAAGUCCUGAUGUAGUUGUAUGAUGGGGAUCAAAGAACUUUUGGUCCUGAUCUGUAUGCUGUAAAAACUCAUCAUACUGCACAAUUAAUCCAUAAAAUAAAUUGCUUGUAAAUAAAUUGCUUGAUGUAUGGACGUUAAUCCUGCGCCAUACCUUAAAUAAAAUUAAAUAUGCGGUAAAGUAAAUUCAUAAAUUAAAUUGCUUGCUGUACGGACGUUAAUCCCACACCAUACCUUAAAUAAAAGUAAAUGUGCAAUAAAGUAAAUUGCUUGUUGUAUUGGAGUUAAUUCCACACCAUACAAUAAUAAAGUAAAUGUGCUUGUAUGAGCACUAAUUCUGCUCCAUACUUUUAAAUAAAAGUAAAGGCAGUUGUGUGGACGAUAAACCUGCACCACACUUUUAAAUAAAUAUUGUUGUAUGGGUAAUAAACCUACACCAUACAAGAAAUAAAUUGUAUGAGUAAUGAACCUACACCAUAUAGUAAAUAAAAUAACUGUGGGAAUAAAACCACCACUAAAAAUAUAGGAAGUGAAACCGUCUAUUUUUAUUAGUUGUUAGUAAUAUGAAAGCAAAUAAGUAUAUUAUAUUACUAUCAACUUUUCAUAUCAAUAUUAUAAUUAUAUAUAUAAGAUAACCAUAUAUAAUAAAUUGACAGUUAUCGCUUCUGACAAUCGUGGAUUAUAUAUACUAGAUUAAGACUACCAUAUCAAAUAAUAUUCUAUAAAUAUCACUUGUGUAUAUACAUAUAACUUGAGUAUAUUGCCAUUUAUAUAUAUAAUAUGUUAUAUCAAAACCAAAAAGUUAAUGAUGCUUUAAUAUAAUAUAUAAAGCAACCAUAUAUCAAAAGGAAUCAUGGCCGACAAUGAAUCAUUGCAUAUGUGCAUGUUUUCAACUUUGUUGCUUUCACUCCUGCCAUUAGCACUCAAACUGUUUGUAUAAUCAGCAUAUAUAUAUAAGGUAGCAUUGAAUAAUGUAAAGUAUUAAUAAACGAAGAAGAUGAAAAAAUAGUGAGCUUAUCAUGUUUUGGUGGAUUUGCUCGUAUAUCUCUCUAGCAGACCACAGCUCCUUCUCUUUUCUUCCUUACAUCAACACAAUGAUCAGUAGUAUAAAUAAUAGUGCAACACAAAAAUUAUACAUGAGAGCUUCUCGUGCUAAUAACGUGUUAUACAAUAACUGGAAUAUGUGCGAAUAUUGAGCUGCACGUAAAGUGGAUGAGAAACAGUAACUUUUCCACUAUGUAAAAUAAUAGGGCUACAACUUUAGUGUUUACAAUAUAUGUAGCUCACUAAUUUUUCUCUCUUGGAGAAUUUCUCUCCUCUCACCCACUCUCUUUCUUUCUUUUCUUUCCUUCCUCUCUGCCUGACUCUCUUUCUUCUCUCAGUUGGAGUCUUCACCAAAGGAAGGGGGGAAGCCUUAUUUGUAGGCAGAAUUUUGUGGCUGCUUACUCAUUUCUCUUUGGCUUCACGUGGGUGUUGACAAGCAUCAUCAUUACUCUUCAAUUAAUUAGGUAGUGUGCUCUACCAUUUUGGCCUCCACAUUCUUGACUUUACAACAAGUAUAUAUUUUAAUAUGGAGGAGUAAGAAGUCACAACUUUGGCCAAGUUUCUUGAAAAGGACAAAUGGCCUAAAGAUCUUUAUAAAAAAGAUCUAAUGAAAGUUCGAAGGCCACCUUUAUGGCCUUAUACUAUCUAUAUAAUAUUAUUUAGACUCAACAUAUAAGGUAUAAUCAUAGUCUAAAAUAUCGAUAAUAUCGACGAAAUUAUCAUUUUUUCGAGUCACAAAUAUUUGGAACGUAUCCACACAUAUCGUAUAAAUAUCGAUAAUAUCAGAAAAUAUCGAUGUCGAUAAUUGUGCUCACUCACUACUACAAAAAAGGAAAAAGACGACGGUAAAUCACCGUCGUGUAUUCGAUUUUUCAAUGGUCGUGGAAUCCACCGUCAUCUUUUCCCUCAUAUACCACGACGCUAAAUCACCGUCGUUGUUAAAAUAUACAACGUCAUCAACAAAUACAAAACGACGUCUUUGUACUGCAAAAAGAUCUAAAAAAGCAGUCGAGGAUGAGAAUAGACGACCAACUCUCUAAAAAAACCGUCGUUAAAAAGGAAAAAUAUGACACAUAUUAAGAGAACAAGGCCGCAAGAUAGACAUACAACGACGGAAAUAAAACAACGACGCCGUUAAAUAUCAUUUUCACGACAAUAAAAAAUUUGACGUCUUUAAAUACAUUAGAAGACGACGUUAUUGAUACCUACUACGUCGCAUAUAUAAAAACAGCCGUCGUAAAAUUAAUUUUCCACUUCGAUUUUUCGAUAAAAGAUGACGUGGAAAUAGUUGUCAGUGUCAUUAUUUACGACGUAUGUAUUUAUUGAGUAGACGUUGAAAAACUAAACAACGUCGGUUACAAAUAUAUGAGAGUCGUAUUACAAAAUUUAUACGUCAUAUUUUCAGAAACAAACAACGACGAUAAAUAUUAGACGUUGUUAAAUAAAACAACGUCGGAAAACAAUAAAAACAGACGUGUUUAGUCUGCUAAAGUUCUAGAAAAUAGUCGAGGAUGAGAAUAGACGACCAACUCAAACAAAUCACCGUCGUUAAAAAGGAAAAAUAUGACACAUGUUAAAAGAAAAAGGCCGCAAGAUAUACAUACAACGACGACAACUAAAAUUUUACGCCGUUAAAUAUAAUUUACACGACAAGAAAAAAUAUGACGUCUUUAAAUACAUGAGAAGACGACGUUAUUGAAAUAUACUACGUCUCUUAUUUACAAACAACCGUCGUGAAAUAAAUUUUCCACUUCGAUUUUUCUAAAAAAGAUGACGUGGAAAUAGUUGUCAGUGUCAUUAUUUACGACGUAUGUAUUUAUACAGUUGACGUUGAAAUGCGAAACAACGUCGGUGGCAUUUAUAUAGUCGACGUUGUAUUUAUAUCUAUCAUCAUUACUCACGACGCACUUAAUAAUAUAGACGACGUUGAACUUCUAAACAACGUCGGUUCCAAAUAAAUGAGAGCCGUAUUACAGAACAUAUAGACGGCGUUGAUUAUGAUGAGAGCCGUAUUACAAAUAACGUCGUUUAAUUGUUAUUAGACGGCGGUUAUAAUGAAUUUCCGUCGGAAUUCAUUUCGUUCCUCUUCGUUUAUAAAAGAACUUGCGACGUGGAAAAUGUAUGAUGACGUCGUAUUUUUUAACGUUCAGAUUAUAUAUCUCGUUUUUUAGACGUCGGUAUUAUGGGAUUGGAGUCGUGUUAUUUUGAAUUACAUGGCGGUUCUUAAUCCUUCCCCGACGUGAUAUCCUGAUUAAUUGCUUCACAAUUGCGUCGUGGUUCUUCAUUGUUACGUUGCUUUAAGACGUCGGUAAAUAUGCUGAAUAACUGGUUCACAAUAACGUUGUGUUUUAUUUGAACGUAGAAAGUGAAGAAAUCACAUUACAAUAUAUUACAAAAUUAAUGUCAUACACUGCCAAUUACAUAAGCAUCAUUCAAUCCAUAUAUCUUCACACCCAUCUCGAAUAUUUUGACCGCCUAACUCACCCACCAGUUCAUCAAAUGUGUCAACAUUUGGCAUCCCUCUAGUAAAUGGCUCACACUCAAUUAUCACAUCACCUAAGACUUCAUCACCAAUAACAUCAUUAUAUUCUCUAUUAGGCAUUGAUAACACUACCGACCAACCACGAUGCAUCGGGUCGUCAACAAAAAAUAUUUGUUUGACUUGAGAAGCCAAAACAAAUUGGUCAUUCCUAUGUCCAAUUUUACUCAAAUCUACAAGGGUAAAUCCAAGUUCGUCGACUACAAGACCAGAACUAUCUAUCCAAUCACACCUAAAGACUGGGAUUGUAAACUUUUGGUAGUCAAGGUCCCAAAUUUCUUGAAUGACACCAUAGAAACCCAUAUUUGAGAGAAUUGGGUUUUUAUCCUUGGCACUAGCAACUUGCAUGGUAUGUGCAAGUAAAUAAACUCCACUAUUUUGAGUUGUCCGCACAUCAUCUUGUGCCUUGAUAUUGAAUUUAAUACCUUUAAUAAGAUAGCUCCUAUAUAAUGGCACUGACAUGUUUGGACCAGCUGCUAGCCACCUUAAAUUUUCUGAUACGCCAUGAUUGUCUUCCUCAAGUUCACUUUGAACCUGCAAAUUAAUCAUAUCUUAAUUCAAUCUAACAUAUAAAUAAGAAGAAAAUUAAAAGAGAAAUAUGUUAUUCAACAAUAUAUACCUUGAAGCGUAGCCAUUGAAUGAAAGUGCUAUUGUGCUUAUCCUGCAGCCACUUUGUUCUCUUUCUAAAUUUUGGAUAAGCAGUCUUGAUGUGAAUCAUAUGUUGCCUACAUGACACGAAAAAUUCAAGCAUUACGGUCCUAAAUAUAGAAGAUAAACAUAAGAAAUAAUUUAAAAUGGAAACUUAAAGAAUAAAGCUCAUACGUACUCGAUAUAAGGUAGGACUUCCUCCGUAUUCUCCAAGACAUAUAGAUGUGCUUGAUUCAACAGGUCCUGAUCAACUACGCUCACUGUGCAACCUGAUAAUGGCUUUGAAAGUCCCAUCUUUUGGCUUGAAGGCACUCCAACUGUACUAACAUCAGAUAAAUGCUGAGUACAACACUCUACCGCUUCUUCAGCUAUAUACCGCUCAGCAAUGCAACCUUCGGGACGAGUACGAUUCUGAACAUACCCCUUCAGCACUUUCAUAUAUCUUUCAAACGGAUACAUCCACCUAAAAUAUACUGGCCCACAUAGACGAACUUCUCUGACAAGAUGUACUACUAGAUGAACCAUGAUAUCAAAGAAUGAAGGGGGAAAGUACUUCUCAAGCAAACACAGAGUAACUACUACAUCUUCUUCCAACUUAUCUAGCUUGGAAACAUCAACAGUCUUUGCACAUAUAGCAUUGAAGAAGAAGCACAAACGAGUUAUUGCAUACCUUGCAGGCUUCUCCAAAACAGAACGAAUUGCCACAGGGAGCAAUUGUUGCAUUAAGGUAUGACAAUCAUGUGAUUUAAGGCCAAGAAGUCUUGAAUCUUGUAAAGAUACAAGAUUUUUAAUAUUUGAAGAAUAACCUUCAGGGACCUUCAUACCAUAGAAAGAAUUGCAAACCUCUCUCUUCUCUGCUCUUGACAAAUUCCAAGGCCCAGGAGGCAAACGAGUACGUCUUUCUCCAUACUCGGGUUGCAAAUCAGUUUUGACCCCCAUGUUCAAUAAAUCUAAUCGAGCAGCAAUCCCAUCUUUAUUUUUUCCAGGGAUCUCCAGCAAUGUACCAAUGAUACUAUCGCAAACAUUCUUCUCAAUGUGCAUAACAUCUAGGGCAUGCCUCACAGGAAGGUAUUUCCAAUACUCGAGAUCAAAGAAUAUUGAUUUCUUCUUCCAACAAACUCUGUCACCAUUUUCAACCAUAUGCAGCACUUCUUCUCCGGUUAAUGGCUCGGGAGGUAUGCCAUAUUCAGGUUUCCCAUUAAAAGCUGCACGUUGCCUCCUAUAUGGAUGAUUGAUUGGUAACCAUUUUCUAUGCCCAAUGUAACAAAUUUUGUGGCCAUUUUUCAACCUGUGACUAGGUGUAUCAUCGCCGCAUAUUGGACAAGCUUUAUAUCCUUUAACAACAGAACCAGAUAAGUUUCCAUAGGCGGGGAAAUCAUUAAUUGUCCACAUUAAUGCAGCUCUGAGUGUAAAGUAUUCUCCAUUAUGUGCAUCAUACACUCCUCUAAUCCCAACCCACAAGGAUUUUAAAUCAUCAAUCAAAGGCUCCAAGUAGACGUCUAUAUCAUUUCCGGGUUGUUUAGGACCGGAAAUCAAUAAGGUUAACAUCAUGAACUUUCGUUUCAUGCACAGCCAUGGAGGGAGAUUAUAUGUAACUAAGAUAACCGGCCAACAACUAUAUCUGCUACUUAGAGAACUGUGGGGAUUGAAUCCAUCAGAUGAAAGAGCCAAUCUCAAGUUUCUCGGCUCAUUACCAAACUCAGGCCAUUUAUCAUCAAGAAGUUUCCAAGACGGGGAAUCCGCCGGAUGAGACAUCUGACCGUCAAUUGAUUUUCUAGCAGCAUGCCACCAAGUCAAACUCUUAGCUGUCUCAUGUGAUUGAAACAUCCUUUUAAACCUUGGAAUUGGGGGAAAAUACCACACCACCUUCGCUGGCACACCCUCUUUCAAGAUUGAAUCUUUGCCUUCCUUCCACCUUGAGAUACCACAAGUAGGACAAUUAGUUGAAUCCUCAUACUCCUUCCUAUACAAGAUGCAAUCAUUGGGGCAUGCGUGCAUUUUCUCAUAACUCAGCCCCAAUGCACACAAAGUCUUUUUAGCCUCAUACAUGGAGGUUGGUAUUGUAUUUCCUUCUGGAAGCAAAUCGCCUUGAAGUAUCAAUAAUUCUGUAAAACAGACAUCACUCAUCCCAUGUUUUGCCUUCAAAUUAUACAACUUCACUAAUGCCGAUAACUUCGUGUACUUUCUACAACCAGGGUACACUGGUUGAUCUCCAUCCCCAAUCACAUUGGCAAACUCAUACGGAUCCGAACCAAAAUCACCAAAAUCAUUAUCAUCCAUAUCAAUUUCUUCAGACACAAAACUGUACCUACUAUGGCCAUCAUCUUCUUCAACAUUUCUACUAGCAUUAGUAGUUGCUUCCCAAGGUUCUCCGUGAAAUGUCCAAUUCUUAUAGCUUUGGUCAAUUCCAUUAAAGUAUAAGUGAUCCCUUAUAAUUCCAACCCCAAACAACUUCAAAUUAACACAUUUAACACAUGGACAACGGAUAUGUGUUGUAGUUAGAAGAUUUUCUACAGCAAAGUUCAAAAAUGCUUCCACCCCAAAUUCAUAUGCCUUCGAUCUUCUAUCCGAGUGCAUCCAUGACUUAUCCAUCUCCGACACUAUAACCUAUUAUCUAUAAUAAAGUGAAAAUACAGGCAAUGACCAUCACUAUAGCAGAUUAUAAAAUGAUCUAAUCGCAAGUAAUACACAACAGAGACGACGGGUUUUAAACAAAAACAGACGUAUUUGGCAUAUAUAGACGACGGAUUUUCAACAGACGUCGUCUAUUAUAAGUAAUACAAACGACGGUUUAUGAAAAAACCGUCGUGUAUAAGUAAUACAACGACGGUAGUUUAAAAAAAUCGUCGUGUAAUCGUCGUCGUAAGCCUUAAAAUUCGUCGUGUCUCAGUUUAUUUUCAAGAACACAAAACCCAUUAAGAACACAACAUAUAUAUGAAACCAAGCAAGAAACCAACAUAUACAUGAAACCAAGCAUGAAAACAAUAAAUCCAUUCCCAAUUCAACAUAACAGAUAAUCCAUGAACCCAUUAAACAGAAAAUCCAUGAACCCAUACCUAUAAGCACAUUAUUAACAGAUCGCAAAGCAUACACAUAAAACCCUUUAACAAAACAACCUAAUAUAACUCGAAUCGUUACUAGAAUCAUCACUCGAAUCCCCAUCUUCAUUAUCAGUUUCUUCCUUCGUAGGUACUAUUUGCUCCCCAUCAUUUUCUCCAUAGCGGAAAAUGACAAGAUCAAAUAAAGGUGUACUUUUGCUGGAAAUCAUUUGGAAGUUGGUGAUCUGUGUCUUUUUGUGUUGAUUUCCAGCAAAAGUACACCUUUAUUUGAUCUUGUCAUGAACCCAUUAAACAGAAAAUCCAUGAACCCAUACCUAUAAGCACAUUAUUAACAGAUCGCAAAGCAUACACAUAAAACCCUUUAACAAAACAACCUAAUAUCAUUCAAUGAAUUUACAAGGGGAAGAUAGGGUUUAUACUUACAGGUUGGACGAGCUCACAGAUUCGACGGAGCCUGGAGAGUGCAACUUUUAAUUAGAGCAGAAGUGAGAGAGCGAAAUGUUAUGUCGCGCGAAAUCUGAAAAUUUAAGGUUUCAGGGUUCGAAGUAUAAGAAUAAGAGCCAAAUCUAAAAAAAUUUAGGUCGCGCGAAAAUUUUUAGAGUUCGCGCGUUUUAAAACGUCGAAAGAAAAACCAAGGCGAAAGUUCUACACGUACCGACGUAAAUUUAAUAUUCCACGACGGAAACUUCAUUUUUCGGAUUAAGAACGUAAGGCCGUUCAUUUUGAAGCUUCAUUUUUCGGAUUAAUUUUAAAUUUAUUUUGAAUUUUUUAUAUAACGACGACUGAAAAACCACGUCGGUGUUAAGAAAUUAAAGACGUUGUAAAUUAUAUAAACCGACUUACAUAUUAAAAUGACGUCGUUUAAAGCGUAAACCAUGUCGUAUGUUUUUCUGUACGACGUAAAAUAUGUAUUCCACGACGCAACCACCGUCGUUAAAAAUUAAUACCCUAAACCCAUAAAACUAAAUUAUACAAUUUAAAAAAUUAAGUUUAUAAAAGGUUUUAUGGUUUUAAAGCCUAACAUAUACCCUAGACUACCCAAAAAUUAUACUUUAAAAAUAAACCCCAAUAAAUAACAACCCUAAUCUCUAAACCCUAGACUCUAAACCCUAAACCAUAAAACUAGAAGUGAUUUUAUGACUCAUCAAAACAAUUUUGUUUUGGAUGGUCAUUUUAAAUUUUUGUUAUUCAAAAUGAAUUUUUUCAAGGUUUAUGUGGAAGAAAAUAUAUCAAUGACUUCAUAGGAGUUGACUUUUCAAUUUUCUGAUUUAUUUUAAAUUUAUUUUGAAUAUUUUGAUAUAAAAAUAAUAAAAUAUUCUUACCACAACAACAAACCACGUCGGUGUUAAUAAAUUGUAGACGUUGUAAAUUGUAAUAGACUACUAAGUCGUUAAAAUGACGUCGUUAAAAUGAGAAACCAUGGCGGCUAUUUAACUAUACGACGUAAAAUAUAUAUAUCAACGACUUAACCGCUGUCGUUACAUAAACGUCGUCGAUGAUACCCUGAACCCUUAAGAAAUUGAAGAUGUUGUAAACCAUAAACGACUCAAUUGUUCAAAGAACGUCGUCUAACUAUAUUUUUACGUCGUAUUUGUUUAAAACACGAAACAACAAAAUACGACGGUUUGUGACUUUAUUAGGUCGUUGGAAAAGUAUUACACGUCGGUUAAGCAAUUUGUAUGUUUGUUUUUUUUUUAAUUUAAGAAAACCUCAACAAAUUUUUACAUUACAUAUUAUAGAGAAAAUUUGUACAUUAUACAUAAAUAUCAAGUGUUCAAUAAUUGCCCUGUUUAAUAAUUUGGAAAACAAACUCUGCCCAUUCAUUCCGGACUUCAUCAAUGGCUUCUUGGGGGUAUGAAGCUUCCUGGUUUCCCUUGGCAUACUGCAUAAACAAUGACUAUUAGGGUUUAUAAAUAAAAAGAAAUUCAAUCACAGACGACGAUAUUUUUCAUAACCGACGUAGUAUAUCCAUUCAACGACGUUAAUUUUACAUGACCGUCGUUGAUAAUACAAAAAACGACGUGAAAUGUAUGAAGGUAAUUUCUUCUUACCUUAUUCUCAAACCCCAAGGAAGGAUCCAUGAUGAUGUCCCUCAUGAAGCGCAUCACAUAAUACCCGCAUUCGACAUUGCUGGGUUGCUUUGGUGUGCCUGAGAGAGUUUUCCAAAUUACAUUUUUACGUCCUGCUCGGGCUAUGUGGGUAUUAUAUAUUUUUAAAGCACUGUUCACGAUGUUUUUCGCCUCUUCGUCGACCACACGAUGACCUGGCAGAGGAUCCAGAAAAUAGACGGUCUCCUUCUUUGCUCUUACAAUCAGCAAGAUCCAAUGACGGCUGCACAAAAUUAAUAUAAAAACGACGGUUAUUUACAAAAACGACGUAUUAUAGUAUUCACACGACGAAANNNNNNNNNNNNNNNNNNNNNNNNNNNNNNNNNNNNNNNNNNNNNNNNNNNNNNNNNNNNNNNNNNNNNNNNNNNNNNNNNNNNNNNNNNNNNNNNNNNNCGACGGUUUAUUUACAAAACCGACGUAUAAUAGUAUUUCCACACGACGAAAUAAAGUAGAUAACGACGACAUUAUAUAUUUAUCACGACGAUAAAUAAAUACCGACGUGGUUAGUAGUUUCAAACGACUAAAUAAAAUAAAACACCGACGUGGUUAGUUUAUAAUCUGUCAUUUAUUGAAAAUCAUAAAAACAAAAUCCUAAGGAGACUAACCCUGGAUUGUAAGGCAUCAUGAAAAUCUGUUCACCCGUCUGUCUUCUGAAGUCGAGCUGCUACCAGUCGUGAUCUUUCAGUUAUUGUGCCAGAGUUGGCACUAACUGUAGCAGGGUCGAUAAAGCCAACCAUGCUGCACAUAUUGGCUUGUUUCAAAACAUCGUGUAAGUACCUAAAUACAUAAAAUAAUAUAAACAAGUCAGCACAAACAAACAUGACGGUUAUGUAUAAAAAAACGACGUAUUAUAAUAUUUCACACGACGUACUGAAAUAGAUGAGGACGUUAUAAUAUAUUUAUCACGACGGUAGUUAGUUAAGACGACGUGGUUAGUUAGUUAAGACGACGCAAUAUAUAAACCAACGAGGUAUUAUUUUAGAAGUACAAACCUCAUAUAUACAGCCAAUACAGUAGCUCCAAUUUCUUCCAUGCCUGCAAAUUGUGUAAUAUCUUCAGGCAGGAGGAAGGUAUCGCGCUCACCACCAAACACCUCCUUAUUAAUUGUAAAUUGGAGUGUCUUAUCCUCAGGCAGGAGUGUCGUUUCCACAAAACGACAAAGGGUUUUUAAAGAAGAUGGCGCCUCCAUAUUUGAAUAAGCACCAACUUCAAUAACCUGUUUAAAGAAAUAAAAAAAAUGACAUGGUAAUUCAAUAAAGACGACGGUUUAAGUAAUAAAACGUUGUCUUAAAAGUAUUUAAACGACGGUGAAAAAACCGUCGUGGUAAUUCAAUAAAGACGACGGUUUUAUGAAUAAAGCGUCGUCUGAAACCAUUUAAACGACGGUGCAAAAAUCGUCGUUUAAAUAUUUUAUUACGUCUUAAAAAAAUUCCGCCGUCUAAGUUUUAAACAAACGACGGAUUAAAUAAAAAUAUCGACGUCUGAAAUUUUGAAAAACAAAUAAAAAAGGCAAAGUUAUGUGAACAUACCUUGUCGUCAUGCUUUUCUUCAUCUUCUUUCUCCUUUUCUUCUUCCUUCUCUUCAUCUCUUUUUUCUUCUUCCUUCUCUUCAUCUGGCUGAUGUUUCCCCAUUUUGGCAGUAUCAUCCUCCAAAUGUAGGGAUCUCACAUCACCUCCAGAGCAGCUAGCUUUGUCAGACAUUGGAUUUUUGGGGCUUUGGCUAAUUCUUGGUUUAAGCAUGCUUGGAUCAAAAUUGGGAAUUAAUUGGGAAAGCUGACUCAGGAAAUGCUCCCUCUCAGCCUCUACCAAUUGUUUUGUCCUAGCCUCCAUCCUUAAGGCCUCUUCCCUUGCCUUAGCCUCCAUCUUUUUAGUCUCUUCUUGAAGGAGAACUCUUAAACUGUCCUUCAAACGGUCGUCAAAGCUCACCCUCUGUGGUUUGGGAAAAUUGAAAUAUUGCCUUGGGGAAACACCAGCACCAACUCCCCUCAGUCUGCCUGGAUGCUCGGGGCCCAAAGCCAUGGUCAGCACAUCAUUGCUGCCAUCUACUCUGACUUUGCCUUCCGAGACUUGUUUCUGCAAUUCAUCCUAAAAAAAGAUAAACAAAAAAACACACGACGGUUAUUUAUGUACAAACGACGUAUUAUAUAAUUUCACACGACGCAAUAACGUAUAAACCGACAUUAUUAUAACUUAUCACGACGGUGGUUAUACCGACGUGGUUAUUUAUUUAAAACGACGAAAUGAAUAAACAACCGACGUCUUAUGCUAUAAUUAAAGAUAACAGAGUAGUGACUCCUAUUUAGACCGUUAACGACGUUUUUAAAAAAGUUUCGACGUGGUAAUAUCAUUCACACGACGCGAAAAUGAACCACCGACGUCUUAUGCUAUAAUUACAGAAAACAUAGUAGUGAUUCCUAUUUAGACCUUUAACGACGUUUUUAAAAACUUUUCGACGUGGUAAUAUCAUUCACACGACGCAAAAUAUAACAUACGACGUAAUAAGAAUAAUUCACAGUUUAAUACAAAUUUAAAACAGAGUGAUAGUAGGCUUACUAUUAAUUUUGCUUUCUCUGCCACCUUUGGAUCAGGGAUGUUACCAUGUUUGUCCUGUCUAGCUCUCUUCCAUAAGGUAGAUCGAUCAAUUUCUACCCCAGGCAUGGUUUCCUCCAAUUGAUCCUCCAAUCCAGCAUAUCCUUUUCGAGACAAUCGAUGAUUGUACUCGAGUUUCUCCCUAAUCUGUGCAUGUUGAGAAUGCACAGACUCAAAAUCUUUGGAUAGCCUUGAAGCUACAAAGGCAUCCCAUUGUGCUUUCUCUGUGAAUUUAUAUGUUUCAGGGGGUUGGCUUAAUUUCUCCCUGUCAUUGGUGUAUGGAAGGAUAUAAUGCCUCGUUAGUGUAGACUUGAAAUCCUUCCAUUUCUUGGAAGCAGAAGCUAAAACAGAGGUCUUGCCCCCUUGGCCUACGACAAAAGCCAUGUCAACUGCUUCCCAAAUCUGCUCCUUUAUAUCCUUGGGGAUUUGGGACCAUUUCUUGUCCACAAGUGGGAUCCUGGAGCGUGCCAACACACCAAUAUACGACUGCAUCUCAAUAUGUGCUUGGCCAACACCUUUCCCCCUUUUAUUGUACUCAACAAUUGGCCUCAGUUUCUGAAGCUUUCUCUUCACAACACGAGGCAUUGUGCUCAUACCUCGACCAGUCUUUGAAUCAUCUGAGAUUGUUGUCUGGCUGGUUUGUUCUGUCUCAGCAGAUGAUGAAGCAAACUUCAUCUUCUUCGAAGACUUCAUCUCCUUCGAAGACUUGUCUUGAGGAGCUACCAUUCCAAGCUUCUUGGAGCCAGAAUCCUUAGUUUGUUGUUGAGAAACCAUUUUAACAGACAAAACUGCAAGUGAAAAUAUUUCAGGAAAACAUUAAGAACACAAACGACGGUAUUAAAAAAAUACGACGUAUGAUAUGAUUGUAGACGACGCAAUGAAAUAAUCUCAGACGUAAUAAAUGUUUAAAACCAUUAUUUAUAUAACGUCGUGGUAUAUAUGUUCACACGACGUCAAUAGUAAUACACCGUCGUGGUAAACUAUUAUUUAUAUAACGUCGUGGUAUUUAUGUUCAUAUGACGUCAAUAGUAAUACACCGUCGUGGUAUUAACAUUCACACGACGUAAAACAAUAAGAUAUUUUGUCGUCUAUAUUAGAUACCAACCCUAGUUUCUUUUUCUUUAUAUUUUAUCAAAUAAGGGAAAAACAAAAACCAUUGUUCAGCGAAAUCAAACCUGCAAUUAAACAAGCAUAUAAAAAAAGACUAUUAUUUUAAAAACAACUUUGUCAAUUUUCAGACGACGCUAGAACAACUGACGAACCGUCGUGGUCUACCUUCGUCUUAUUUAGUUGAUGUAGUUGUCUUCAAAGUUGGAAACUUUCACUCUUUGUCUGUAUAUUUUAUCAAACUUGGAAAGAAGUAAAAUGAUUUUGGCCAGAAAAAAGGUAAAAAGAUUUUUCAAACAAAAAACGUAUGAGCAUGCAAAACAGUAACCAAAAUAGUGAAGAUGAAAGCUUACCUUUUGCGUGCAAUGAAAGCAAGAGGAAGAUGAUCGAUGUUUAAGUUCAGAGACGACGAAGAAGACGAGAGGAAGACGAUGAGAAACUCUGACAAUGCUCUGACAAGGAAAAAAGACGAAAAGGUUUCUCUGGGAGAUUGAAAUUUUUAAUCGGGUUUGGAAACAGUGCAUGUGUAAGUCGAAAAGUUGCUUACAUAUAAAACCAUUUCAAAAAAAUAAUACGGCGGUUACAUUUAACUACGUCGUUUUUAACUAAAACGACGCAAUAUUUUUCAUUCGACGUGGAAUCAUUUCAUUUAACGUCGUUAGGUUUAAUAUAACCGACGUGGAUUUUAAUUUUUAAAUUAUGAAUAGAAUUUUUUUUCCCGUGACCUUUCAGUUUAUUUUUCAAUUACAGUGCGUUAUAAAUAGAGUUUUUUUUCCGGAGGAAAUUUAAAACGAAGGAAAUUAAUAUUCUGCAAUAUGUAAAGUUUCUUUUUUGGAUGACAGAUUUAAAUAAAAUAAGAAUAUAAAAACAACAAAUGUGUAAGUCAAGUAGACGAAAAGUUGCUUACAUAUAAAACCAUUUCAAAAAAAUAAUACGGCGGUUACAUAUAACUACGACGUAUAAAUUACAAAAUACGACGGUACAUUUAACUUCGGACAUGGUAAAUAAAUACGACAGUAGUUUGUAGGUACCGUCGUAGUAAACUCAAAAAUUAAAGUACAUAAGUAAUAACUCGCGUCAUGGUAUAUUAUUUAACACGUCGUUUGUAUUAAUUUACCGACGUGGAUUUCUGUAAUAUACGUCGAUAAUACCGACGUUGAUUUUACAAUUUAAACGGCGGUUUUUUUGUAAGGACCGCCGUUGGUUUUAAAAAUUUAUUCUAUAAAUUUGUCGCUUUCAUUCAUUUUCGGUUUACAUUUAAGGUUCCAAGUUCUUCCUCUCUCAGUCUCUCAUGUCUCAAAGACAAUAAUUUGGAUGUUUUCUCAAAGAGAAAUUGAGCUUACUCGCAUCAAAUAUAUGUCCACAAGAAGAAGCUUGUCAACUAGCCUUCUCACUUCCUUGAUCAAGCCUGAUAGGACACUUAGUGCUUCUGAAUACUCCUUGCUUUCCAUCAAAAGAGAUGCAAGCCUGGCCUCCACUCGCUGUCGAAGGAAAGUUCGCUUCUCAGGGAAAUCUGAAGAUCAGAUGUGCCUGAUCCUCUGCUUGAUUUUCUUGCCUAAGAAGAUCCGUCGGAUUUAUUGUGAUAGCCUCUUCCUUUAUCCGUAGAGCUUCAGAAGAAGAAGAUGGGUUUCAAGAAUGCGAUAAAGAAUAGAAAUUGCUUCAGAUGGCCUCUAAAGCAUGAGCAAUUGAAUCAGUAGUUUCUGGGAGAUAUGAUGAAGACAUUGUCAAUGCUUUGAACUACACAAGUCCUGCAGAAAGAUAUGUUAAAGAAACUGAAACAACGGCGGUUUUCUGUUCUACCGUCGUCUUUUAUCGUCGUCUAUAUUAAGUUAAGAUGGCGGUAGAUUUAUAAUUACCGACGUAGAUUAUUUUGUUAAACGUCGUUAAGUGUACUACAACCGACAUGGAUUUUAAUUUUAAAUUAUAAAUAGAGUUUUUUUUCCCGUAUUCUUUCAGUUUUAGUUUUCAAUUCCAAAGCGUGAUAAAUAGAUUUUUCUUUCCCGAGGAAAUUUAAAAUGAGGGAAAUUAAUGUUCUAGAAUUUGUAAACUAACACGACGCAAUAUUUGCAAAUCAGUGUCAUCUGUUAAGAUUAUGAUGUGGAACAGAGUUCCAUCUGGUAAGAUUUCGUAACCCUUGGGAUCUCAGACAAAACUGAUUAUGUCGGCGGUGUUCUAUAUAAACCGUCGUGGUUAUUUCAAUUCUUGUCAUUAAGUAGAUCUACCGACGUAGGAUAAGAAAAUCAAAGAAAAAAAUUGUUAACAAAAAUUCUUAUUAAGACGACCGUUAAAAUUAAAGGUACGACGUAUAAAAUGAAUAAAUACGACGAUAAAUUUUAUUGUACGAUUUAAAGAUAACGUCGUAGAACUAUACGAGAAUGACGUCGAUAUAUUUAUAUUUUCCGUCGUUGUAAAUUAAUUUAAUACGGCGAUAUUUUGUAUUUUAAAGCCGUGGAUUUGUUUGUAAUUAUACGGCGUCUUAUACGAAAACCUCGUCGUGUUAUUUUAUGAGUAAAAACGGCAGUUUUUAUUGAAAUCGUCGUCUUUACUUUCUACGUCGGUCGAUUCAUAACUUCUGCCGUUCUUUGUUGGCAUUGAUUUUACACUGCGGAAAUCUGUUUCAAAUAGACGUCGGUUGUUUAAUUAUGUACGUCGUUGUUUUUGAACAGCCAUUUGAAACUCCAUUUUUUAGUUGUCUAAGGUUGUAUUACACGACGGUGUUUUUAGAACCGUCGUCUUUUUAUAAACCACGACGAUUUUCACUUAGACCGUCGUUGUUUUCUGGUCGUCUUUUUCACUUUUUGUAGUAGUGACUCUUCAGCAAUAUUUUAUCAAAAUAUCGCUAUAAUAUCGAAAAUAUCGAUGUAAUGAAAAAAAAAGAAAAAAGAAGAAGCACAAAACACACAUGCAAAGGGGAUUCAAACUCUUGCCAUUUCACUCUUUCAACGCCUUAACCACCAUGUUGCUUAUGAUUUUUUGAUAAUAUGGUAAAAUAUGUAUAUUUAUAUUCUUUUGUUUUGAACUGUUUUUGUAAGAAUCAGAUUUUCACAUGAGAAUGUGAGUCAUUGACCGUUCUUUUUGGGAUGGAAUCGAGCGGCUCACGGAAAGAAUUUAAGACCCAAAUCUUCAAAUGAUUUUGCUUAUAGACAAUGUCAAUCAAUCUCAGAUCCAUAUGGGUGACAUGUUAACAAUUACAUACAAAACUAUUUUGAGGAUUUAUCAUUUGAUGACUACUCUUCACAAUACACUUAUUCUACACAUAGAGAUGAUGAAGAUAGUGAAAAAUUUGAACUUCAUAGGAACUCUAUGUGGCACUAAGUCACUCAUGUAUCUUAGCAUGCAAGUAUAAAGUGUAAGAUAUUGUAGUAAAUUAUUAUAUAUAAAUGAUUAUGGUGUGUUUAAUCUUCUUUCAUUAAUUAUUACAUAUUUUCUAUACUCACAAUGUUCAUCAGCUUGCUAUAUAAUCAACUUAAAUCAGUUAAACCCAUCAUGCAAUGCAUUUCCUUCCAAUUUUUUGUGACUAAUAGAUAAUUGACUAAAUAAACAUCCUCCAAAGUUUCAAUAAAAUUUUCCAAGUUUUUCUUAUAAUUUACGUCGUUUUUAUUCAAUUUUCAUCGAUAUCAAUAAUAUUCAGAUAUUUCCAUCGAAUUUUCGUGUAUUUGGACUACCGAUAUUUUCGAUACCAUCGAUAUUUUAGACCUUGGGUAUAAUAUAUAUAUAUGAUAAAGAUGGACUCAUUAGAAUUCCAAGUCAUCCAACAUCGGUGGAUUAUGUUCAAUCAAAACUAGAAACUCCGAAAGCCACGAUGUCACACCAUAUGUGAAGCCAAGUCUUCAGAGGUCUAAGCCCAACCCGUGGAAGUAGGCCCAAAACCUCCUGAUGUUUUUAUGCACGUGACGAGAUCCAUCCAAGGAAAGCAGUUGAAGAAAUUGAUGUCAAUCCGGAACAUUCAUAAUGAGGAGAGAAUCAAGUGAUUAGAUUUGCAAUUCGAUAAUCUCAUUCGAAUUAAUUCCGCGGAUUUUGGAAGCUACGAAAAGAAAAUUUUUGAACGAAGUUGACCUUUUGUCAUUUGAUGGCCAACCCAUGGACUGACAGAUGCCCCUAUAUAUACCUCUUUAGAUGAAGAGCAAAGGAGACCGACAUGAGAUACAAAAACCUACUUUUUGUUUUUCACUUUUCUAUCCCUGGACUAGGUUUUUAUUUUCCAAGCAAGUAGACUAGAUUAGUUCUUCGAUUUCGUUAGUGUAAGUUUAAUUUCUUGCAUUUUCCAUUACGUUAUUUUAAGAUCCAAAUUUGUUGCUUUACUUUUAAUUGUUAUCGAUUUUUUUUUAAGUUUAAUAUAAUUUCAAAUUGCUUUAUUUUAUCAUAUUUAUCGUUCAUAUCGUUCAUAUAGUUCUUGUUUCAUUCUUACUUAAAUUUACGUUUAUUGUUGCUUCAAUCUUAUUUUUGCAUUUAUUUUCUUGUUAUUUAGUGGCUUGGUGGCUUGGUUUGCCUCAUACUAUGUAGAAGUGCAUGUACAAUUCGAUUUGAAGGGUGCAAAUUCAAGUGCAAAGAAGACACCAACGGGCACGGGUAGAGGUGGUUCAUCUGCCACAGCUGAGAAAAAAGGCGGCCAAGGUUCGGGGCUGAUGGAAAGAGAAAGAGAAGAAGAGGGAGAUGAAAGAAGAGACGUUGCCUUUCCUUCUUCCUGUAUUUGGCACGUUUUUUAAGAAAAUGUAAAUAGAUUUUUCCUCCACACAAACAUUUUUGGUAGGUCACUUGGUGAGGAACGGUAGGAUCUUCGGUUGUAGUGUUGGCUUACAGGGUUAUACUGGUGAUACUAUUGAAUUCAACUCCAAGAUUUAUCUUUUGCCUUUAGUAGCAUUUUAUUUUCAUCAAUGCACUAGAUAAUGGUUUUAGUAGAUUAACUUGUGUUUACGGUGGUUUGAUAUAGUGUGUCAGGUGACAAUUCUCACUGAGUAAUCUGAGAACCAGAGCUUCUACAAAAUCACUAACCAGUUCAUAAAAUAUGUUUGUCUUUUUCUAAUCUCACCAUGAGAAAUAUUAAUUAAUUUGCCUUAACAAAAAUAAUACAAAGUAUUGGUUUGUAUUAAACUUUGUUGGUUAAUACUUUUUUUAAUAAAAAAUUUGCUGCUGGUUAAUCUCUGGUUAAGCUUAAUAUUUAGGAGGGGUGUGUUUUCUCACACACAAAUGUCAAAGUGCCAUAAGGAUUUGAACAGAAGACUAUUAGUCUGCAAAGCAAGGUACUUUUUCACUAGUGUCCGAAUCAAAUCAUGCUUGAAGAAUACUAAUAGGGGAUUUUUCUUUCAGCUGAUAAAAGUAAAACAUCAAAGCUCAUCAUGGUGAUCGAAAACCAGAUGCAUCCAAAUUGCAAGGCAUGCCUUUCUCUUUGUGGUAGUAUAAUGAGCAUCCCUCUCAUACCCUCCAUAAUAAUCCUAAGCAUUAAUGUUGUAAAUUAGAUAAAUCCAUACAUACAUAAAACGAGCAUAAUAAGUAAUAGUAGCUAGUGGGAAUUAUAUCCCAACAAUUCAACAAGAACGAACAAAGUAGUAAUAUUCUCACUCUCAUAGCAAUACUACAAAUAGUAGGACAAAACAAUAUUGGUAAACACACGAGUGGUCCAUAUAGUUCUCCAGAAAUCCCUAAAAUAGAUCUUGCAUCUAGGUAUGCAACACCAUAUGAAGGGCCCAUACCAUAUGUGAUUAUGAACCUUUAUUUAACUACAUAUAGAUAUAGUAGUACAACAAAUAUUACUGUCCGUCUGGGAAACGGAAACCGUCAAUAUGCUACUGAUAAUAUGUCGAUAUAAUUGUCGCCAAUAAAACGUACUGACAUGUUAUCGAUACAUUUUCAGUAAUAUCGAUGCACAUAUAUUAUUUCAACAAUAUGCACAACCUUUAUUUAAUAAAGAACUGAUGGCUUGCAUAGAGAACUUCUGAGAUAUUCAUCAGAGACGUAUAUGUAAACACCAUUUUUAUUAAGGGGUGGUGGUUAUUGAAGGUGGAGAGAACGGAAAUAUGGGAGUUGAUGGGAAAUUUGGAAGUGAAGUAAUAAUAGGGGGAGGCAACCUAUAUUCUGGCCAUAAAGGUGUGGAGGUCAGAGGAGGAAACUUCAGGUUAGGGAUCUUGGGCAGCUUAUAACGAGGAAAGGUAGGGGCUAAGAGUUUUCGAGGGGCAGCGAAAGCUGAAUGUGUGCUUGAAAGUAAUGAAGCGAUGACAAAGAUAGCUAUGACAAACGAUUUCCAAGUUGCCAUCUUAGUGUGUGGAAAUAAAGCUUAUGAAAUUUGAUGUGAACGAGAAGACCAGCCUAUGGUUAUAAUUUAUAACGUUCAGAGGGAAC